GUGUGUGCUGUAAAAGCCUGGGC
RNAcentral lists this non-coding RNA (23 nucleotides) under Cricetulus griseus (Chinese hamster). The record is from RNAcentral. Lineage: Eukaryota; Metazoa; Chordata; Mammalia; Rodentia; Cricetidae.